This 386-nucleotide small RNA is filed under the name uncultured bacterium. RNAcentral's name for it is "bacterial LSU rRNA". The record is from RNAcentral.
CAGGUGUCGAAGCCUGGCGAACGCAUUUUGUGCCUUCGAGCGUGAGAGUAGCUUCAGCUCGUUGAGCCACAGUUUUUUGACAACGGAAAGUAGUAGUGAUCGUGGGAUUCGAUUUCUGGGACCUGAUAAGAUCCCUGAAGUCAAGAAUCAACACUGAUUCAAUUUCGUCGCGCUCAGAUCAUACGGUUUACCGUGUGGUUUGAAAGCGAGCAAGAAAGAAUCAUUCGUUAGAUUGCGCGUAGUUUUAGACGUAGUCGACAGACUACGAAAAGAUUGUGUUUGUUUGAGUCAGAAAUCUGAUCAAGCGAAAGAAUGUAUGCCGGGGAUGCCUGGGUACACGGAGGCGAUGAAGGCCGUGGUAAGCUGCGAUAAGCCCAGGGGGAGCU